UAGGGAAUCUUCGGCAAUGGACGGAAGUCUGACCGAGCAACGCCGCGUGAGUGAAGAAGGUUUUCGGAUCGUAAAGCUCUGUUGUAAGAGAAGAACGAGUGUGAGAGUGGAAAGUUCACACUGUGACGGUAUCUUACCAGAAAGGGACGGCUAACUACGUGCCAGCAGCCGCGGUAAUACGUAGGUCCCGAGCGUUGUCCGGAUUUAUUGGGCGUAAAGCGAGCGCAGGCGGUUUGAUAAGUCUGAAGUUAAAGGCUGUGGCUCAACCAUAGUUCGCUUUGGAAACUGUCAAACUUGAGUGCAGAAGGGGAGAGUGGAAUUCCAUGUGUAGCGGUGAAAUGCGUAGAUAUAUGGAGGAACACCGGUGGCGAAAGCGGCUCUCUGGUCUGUAACUGACGCUGAGGCUCGAAAGCGUGGGGAGCGAACAGGAUUAGAUACCCUGGUAGUCCACGCCGUAAACGAUGAGUGCUAGGUGUUGGAUCCUUUCCGGGAUUCAGUGCCGCAGCUAACGCAUUAAGCACUCCGCCUGGGGAGUACGACCGCAAGGUUG
This 550-nucleotide ribosomal RNA is filed under the name uncultured bacterium. RNAcentral describes it as "bacterial SSU rRNA". It matches the Rfam family "Bacterial small subunit ribosomal RNA", at positions 355 to 896 of the family's 1533-position model. The record is from RNAcentral.